GCCCUUAGAGUUUGAUCCUGGCUCAGAUUGAACGCUGGCGGCAUGCCUAACACAUGCAAGUCGCACGGGGGUAGCGAUACUCUAGUGGCGGACGGGUGAGUAAUGCGUAGGAAUCUGCCCGGCAGUGGGGGACAACUUGGGGAAACCCAAGCUAAUACCGCAUACGCUCGGAAGAGGAAAGCGGGGGAUCGCAAGACCUCGCGCUGUGGGAUGAGCCUACGUCCGAUUAGCUAGUUGGUGGGGUAAAGGCCUACCAAGGCGAUGAUCGGUAGCUGGUCUGAGAGGACGACCAGCCACACUGGGACUGAGACACGGCCCAGACUCCUACGGGAGGCAGCAGUGGGGAAUAUUGGACAAUGGGCGCAAGCCUGAUCCAGCAAUGCCGCGUGGGUGAAGACGGCCUGCGGGUUGUAAAGCCCUUUAGGCGGGGAGGAACGGCGUCGUGUAAACAAUGCGGCGUCCUGACG
RNAcentral lists this ribosomal RNA (467 nucleotides) under uncultured bacterium. RNAcentral describes it as "bacterial SSU rRNA". It matches the Rfam family "Bacterial small subunit ribosomal RNA", at positions 1 to 474 of the family's 1533-position model. The record is from RNAcentral.